Molecule: ribosomal RNA, 430 nt
Filed under: uncultured Eubacteriales bacterium
Lineage: Bacteria; Bacillati; Bacillota; Clostridia; Eubacteriales
Description: bacterial SSU rRNA
Rfam family: Bacterial small subunit ribosomal RNA
Source: RNAcentral
UUCGAAACAACGCGAAGAACCUUACCUGGCCUUGACAUGCUGAGAACUUUCUAGAGAUAGAUUGGUGCCUUCGGGAACUCAGACACAGGUGCUGCAUGGUUGUCGUCAGCUCGUGUCGUGAGAUGUUGGGUUAAGUCCCGCAACGAGCGCAACCCUUGUCUUUAGUUGCCAUCAUUCAGUUGGGCACUCUAGAGAGACUGCCGAGGAUAACUCGGAGGAAGGUGGGGAUGACGUCAAAUCAUCAUGCCCCUUAUGUCCUGGGCUACACACGUGCUACAAUGGCUGGUACAAAGAGACGCAAGACCGCGAGGUGGAGCAAAUCUCAAAAACCAGUCCCAGUUCGGAUUGCAGGCUGCAACUCGCCUGCAUGAAGUUGGAGUUGCUAGUAAUCGCAGAUCAGAAUGCUGCGGUGAAUGCGUUCCCGGGUCUU